Long non-coding RNA from Hyla sarda, 982 nucleotides. RefSeq lists it as uncharacterized. The transcript has 4 exons. NCBI's taxonomy places the organism in Eukaryota, Metazoa, Chordata, Amphibia, Anura, Hylidae. The record is from RefSeq and is a predicted model, not a curated record.
AUUCUGAAAGAUAAAUAUAUUACUGGUUCCCUGGCACUUACCUGCCAGAUACAAAGUCGUAUAAGCAGGAACAAUAACACUUGUCUUUGGUGUAAAGAACAACUGCAUGCAUGGCCUGCUUUUACUUGAGGCCAGGAGCAAAACUGUUUAUGGCAUCCCGUGGUGCUGCGGGAUUUUGCUGUGUUUUUUUUUUAAAUGUCCCGCCCCGGCCUACGCGCUUAGGACUGACGGCGCACUGCACACACAGCGUCCCCCUGCAUCCCCUGCGUCCCCCUCUCCCUUGUGGCAUAGUGAGCCGAAAAUGGUGCCCUGGGGCGGAACGAGCUGCAUCUGCGCCGGACUCCCGUGCUUGCCGUGGGACUGCAAGCUGCACGGGCCGGCUUGCUUAAGGUUUAACGGUGAAGAAUUGUGUGUGGAAGAAAUCGUGAUGAUGGCCCGGACCAGAUGGAGAAGAGAAGGCAAUGAUGCAAAUUAGAGAAGACAUAAUUUUUACGUUCACAUUGCUGCUAAUGGGGGCUCCAUCGGGAAAGAACAUGAGUUGAAAGGAGAUAAAAAUACUGCAUGUCCUAUUUUUUUUCCUGCUUAAUUCCACUAUAAUACUGAAACACCUGAUGAACCCCAUUAAAGUCAAUGGGAUCAAUCGGGACCUGGCAGUGUCCGUUGUGCUUCAAAAAGAAGAGCAGUCUGGGAGUGCCCCAAGUGAAUGGAGGAGUAAACCUGCAUAUCCACCACGUCAUACACUGUUCAUAGGACCAGACCAUGCUGAUGUGCUUGGCUAUCACCUUCAGGGCCAUUGGUGGUGAAUUGAUCAGUGGUCCCGCAGGUACACUACCACUCCAUUCACAGGAGGCAAGAGAACGCGCCAUGUGAAUAGCGUGGUAGAACGUCUAUAUGACCAGAAAUUCUUUUACCGCCAAUGGCAUUAAGAAGACAUCGGAGCACAGCACAUGGCUAUCGCUAUUGCCUUCUGUACCAUUCUAGA